Molecule: ribosomal RNA, 253 nt
Filed under: uncultured bacterium
Lineage: Bacteria
Description: partial 16S ribosomal RNA
Rfam family: Bacterial small subunit ribosomal RNA
Source: RNAcentral
GGCGUAGGGCGCGAGCGUUGUCCGGAUUUAUUGGGCGUAAAGAGCGUGUAGGCGGCCACACAGGUCUGCUGUGAAAACUCGAGGCUCAACCUCGAGCUGUCGGUGGAAACCGUGUGGCUAGAGUCCGGAAGAGGAGAGUGGAAUUCCCGGUGUAGCGGUGAAAUGCGUAGAUAUCAGGAGGAACACCUGUGGCGAAAGCGGCUCACUGGACCACAACUGACGCUGAAGCACGAAAGCUAGGGGAGCAAACAGG